This 342-nucleotide unclassified non-coding RNA is filed under the name plant metagenome. RNAcentral's name for it is "partial contains 5.8S ribosomal RNA, internal transcribed spacer 2, and large subunit ribosomal RNA". The stretch from base 1 to 103 matches the Rfam family "5.8S ribosomal RNA", at positions 50 to 154 of the family's 154-position model. The record is from RNAcentral.
GAAGUGCGAUAAGCAAUGCGAAUUGCAGAACCGUGAGUCAUCAGAUUUUUGAACGCAACAGGCGCCGGUUGGCUCUCCAACCGGCAUGCUUGUUUCAGUGUCUCUUUAUCUCAUCACCCAUAUCAUAAUGCGAGAGAUACCCUUCUCUUGCUAAGCUCGAAAGCACUCUGCGCUCUGCGAGCGGCUUCGACUUGUUCGAGGGUCGCACUCAAUGCAGCCGUCACAUUGCUCACAAUGUGAACUCAUUGAGAGCUGAGGCAGUGUAGCGUAAGCUACCAGUGCUUAGUCACACAAACUUUACUUGCAUCUGAAAUCAAGCAGGAUCACCCGCUGAACUUAAGC